AGGAAGGUAUCGACCCUGCGGUUGGCGGAGGUUCACAAGCCUACGCAUUACAGCUCCUCGGUAAGUCACGGACACCCAGGUUAGAAACCCACCCAGGCGGGUAAGUCGGCGGUCUGUGAAGGGCUAGGGCCAAGCAUGAAGCUAAGGUCCCAGACAGCACAAAAUUUGGGGCAUGGCGGGCAGGCCUCCAGUUGUUUCGAGUUCAAUAUUGUCUCGAUUGUAAAGGUAAGCGUACUUCCAGGCGGUAAUUUUGAGUUAAGACACACACCACGCGGCGUGGCGCAACCGGCUUCGCUGCAUUUAUUAGAGUGACACCAACCGUGCCUUGGCACGUGGUGAAUCUAGAUAACUGUGCAGAUCGUAUGGCCUUGAGCUGACGACAUUUCGAUUGAAUUUCUGCCCUAUCAACUGUGUUGGCAGUGUAGUGGACUGCCAAGGUUUUUACGGGUAACGGGGGAUCAGGGUUCGAUUCCGGAGAGGGAGCCUGAGAAACGGCUACCACAUCCAAGGAAGGCAGCAGGCGCGUAAAUUACCCAAUCCAGACAAUGGGAGGUGGUGACGAAAAGUACCAGAUGGCGGCCAAGUGCUGCCAGUUUGGAAUGAAGACAAUUUAAGCAAUUGAAUUGAGUAACGACUGGAGGGCAAGUCUGGUGCCAGCAGCCGCGGUAAUUCCAGCUCCAGUAGCGUAUCUCAAAGUUGCUGCGCUUAAAACGCUCGUAGUUGGAUCACGCACUACGCAUUGGUGUGCUUCGUCGACCGGGCGUCAAUCCCAGCGCGUCGUCGGCCGUACUCUUACUGCCGGCGGCGUGCUGGGUGUCCGGCGGAGUUGUGAAUUAGCCAGUGUGUAGGAACGCCACGUGUCAAUGGCAGUAAUCCAUCAAAGCCGGGUGGCCGGAGUCUCACGGGGUGUGCCUUGACUCUACCUUACCCACCGCUCUAGCAUACCCUCCUCUUUCCAACAGGCAUAAGUGACAUCCUGAACCGUCCGCAGUCUCACAUUUUAAAGGUAUGAACUUAGCACAAGCAUGGCUUGAUCUUAAAAAGAGCGAAUACGCAGGGCCAGUGAUGUUGUUCCGUAUUGGGGUACUAUUAAGAGGAGCGGUUGGGGGCAUUGGUAUUUGGCAGCGAGAGGUGAAAUUCUUGGACCUGCCAAGGACUAACAAAUGCGAAGGCAUCUGUCCAGACCGUAUCCAUUAAUCAAGAACGAAAGAGAAAGGUUCGAAGACGAUCAGAUACCGUCCUAGUUUUCUCUGUAAACUAUGCCGACCCGGGAUCAGUUUGGAGCAAUUUUCCACGCUCGAGGUUGGUCCCCCUGGGAAACCUUAAGUUUUUCGGUUGCGGGGGGAGUAUGGUCGCAAGGCUGAAACUUAAAGGAAUUGACGGAAGGGCACCACCAGGGGUGGAGCCUGCGGCUUAAUUUGACUCAACACGGGAAAACUUACCUGGUCCGGACAUCAAUGGGAUAAACAGACUAAGAGCUCUUUUUUGAUAUGAUGAUUGGUGGUGCAUGGCCGUUCUUAGUUCGUGGAGUGAUCUGUCAGAUUAAUUUCGGUAACGAACGAGACCACAAUCUCCAUUUGACGAGCCGGAGAAGAUAUUGGUUACACUUGUGCUGGCAACGGUGCCGGAGUGAUUAGUAUUGCAGGCAAUGCUGGGAUGCACGUAAACCUUUUCGGAGGAGCGUGUUCCCGGUAUUCCCUCCGAAUCAGCAGCACUCGGCUCGCAAGAGUUGAGUGUUGUAUCAUGGAGAGACAACGGGAUAUAUUUAAACCCGAGGAAGUGUGGCUAUAACAGGUCUGU
Molecule: ribosomal RNA, 1800 nt
Filed under: Henneguya mystasi
Lineage: Eukaryota; Metazoa; Cnidaria; Myxozoa; Bivalvulida; Myxobolidae
Description: SSU rRNA
Rfam family: Eukaryotic small subunit ribosomal RNA
Source: RNAcentral